GUGGGAAAAAAAGAUAUGGAUCUCAUUUCUUCUUCACUCUACCUUUUCUUCUUCUUCUUCUUACUUUCGCUAAAGCUGUUCUUCUUCAAAGCACCCAAAACUCCCAACUUCCCUCCUUCACCCCCAAAGCUUCCCCUCAUUGGCAACCUUCAUCAAUUAGGUGCCUUACCACACCAAUCCCUGGCAGCUCUUUCCCAAAAACAUGGCCCUUUAAUGUUCCUCAAGCUAGGCCAAGUUCCCGUCCUUGUAAUUUCCUCAGCCAAAAUGGCUGAACAAGUCAUGAAAAUUCAUGACCUCAAAUUCUCCAACAGACCCCAAACUACCGCUGCAAGAACGUUGCUUUAUGGAUGCCAAGAUGUGGGUUUUGCCCCAUAUGGUGAGUACUGGAGACAAGCAAGAAAAAUUUGUGCUCUUGAGCUUUUUAGUGUCAAAAGAGUUGAGUCUUUUCAGUAUGUUAGAGAUGAAGAAAUUGAUGUUCUUAUUAAUAGGAUUCGUAAGAGUUGUGUUAAUAAUGGUGGGAGUGGGAGUGAGGGUGUGGAUCUUGGACUCUUGUUUUUUCAAACCUCCAAUAAUAUUGUUUCAAGAUGUGUUUUGGGAGAGAAAUUUGAGGAUGAAAAUGGAAAA
This 624-nucleotide unclassified non-coding RNA is filed under the name Hevea brasiliensis (rubber tree). Lineage: Eukaryota; Viridiplantae; Streptophyta; Magnoliopsida; Malpighiales; Euphorbiaceae. The record is from RNAcentral.